RNAcentral lists this ribosomal RNA (405 nucleotides) under uncultured prokaryote. Its description in RNAcentral is "bacterial SSU rRNA". It matches the Rfam family "Bacterial small subunit ribosomal RNA", at positions 355 to 774 of the family's 1533-position model. The record is from RNAcentral.
UGGGGAAUAUUGGGCAAUGGGCGCAAGCCUGACCCAGCAACGCCGCGUGAGGGAAGAAGGCCUUCGGGUUGUAAACCUCUGUCCUUAGGGACGAAAAAAAUGACGGUACCUAAGGAGGAAGCUCCGGCUAACUACGUGCCAGCAGCCGCGGUAAUACGUAGGGAGCAAGCGUUGUCCGGAAUUACUGGUCGUAAAGGGUGCGUAGGUGGCCAUGCAAGUCAGAUGUGAAAUCCCCGGGCUUAACUCGGGUGCUGCAUUUGAAACUGCGUGGCUUGAGUGCAGGAGAGGAAAGCGGAAUUCCUAGUGUAGCGGUGAAAUGCGUAGAUAUUAGGAGGAACACCAGUGGCGAAGGCGGCUUUCUGGACUGUAACUGACACUGAGGCACGAAAGCGUGGGGAGCAAACA